RNAcentral lists this ribosomal RNA (497 nucleotides) under uncultured bacterium. RNAcentral describes it as "partial 16S ribosomal RNA". It matches the Rfam family "Bacterial small subunit ribosomal RNA", at positions 28 to 507 of the family's 1533-position model. The record is from RNAcentral.
GAUGAACGCUGGCGGCGUGCCUAAUACAUGCAAGUCGAGCGAACGGACGAGAAGCUUGCUUUUCUGAUGUUAGCGGCGGACGGGUGAGUAACACGUGGAUAACCUACCUAUAAGACUGGGAUAACUUCGGGAAACCGGAGCUAAUACCGGAUAAUAUUUUGAACCGCAUGGUUCAAAAGUGAAAGACGGUCUUGCUGUCACUUAUAGAUGGAUCCGCGCUGCAUUAGCUAGUUGGUAAGGUAACGGCUUACCAAGGCAACGAUGCAUAGCCGACCUGAGAGGGUGAUCGGCCACACUGGAACUGAGACACGGUCCAGACUCCUACGGGAGGCAGCAGUAGGGAAUCUUUCGCAAUGGGCGAAAGCCUGACGGAGCAACGCCGCGUGAGUGAUGAAGGUCUUCGGAUCGUAAAACUCUGUUAUCAGGGAAGAACAUAUGUGUAAGUAACUGUGCACAUCUUGACGGUACCUAAUCAGAAAGCCACGGCUAACUACGUG